This 358-nucleotide long non-coding RNA is filed under the name Helianthus annuus (common sunflower). RNAcentral describes it as "sRNA HanXRQr2_Chr16g0767971". It matches the Rfam family "Eukaryotic small subunit ribosomal RNA", at positions 1194 to 1823 of the family's 1831-position model. Lineage: Eukaryota; Viridiplantae; Streptophyta; Magnoliopsida; Asterales; Asteraceae. The record is from RNAcentral.
UACCAUCUUUUACGUGCACACCACACCACGUCAAGGCUACAUUGAUGUAUUCAACGAUUAUAUAGCCUCGGCCGAUAGGCCCAGGAAAUCUUCGAAAUUUCAUCGUGAUGAGGAUAGAUCAUUGUAAUUAUUGGUCUAAAACGAUAAAUUCCUUAUAAGCCAGAGUAAUCAGCUAGCAUUGACUACAUCCCUACCCAUUGUACACACUGCCUCGCUAACGAUUGAAUAGUCCGAUGAAGUGUUAAGAUCAUGGAGAUGUGGGCGGUUCGCUCCUAGGACGUCAUUAGAAUUCCACUAAACAUUAUCAUUUAGAGGAAGAAGAAUCGUAACAAGGUUUCCAUAGGUGAACCUACGGAAA